AGGAAAGCCAAUCAACUGUACCCCUCCGAGCUGUGAGUUUAUAGGAAAAGCUGAGCUUCGUUGGAUGGAGGAAAAAGUGGCCAGCAGGGGUCAUAAGAAAAGAACAUAUCCAUGAUGAGAAAAAAAACAAGUGAAUGGUACAUUAGUAAUGGGCAAGAAAACCUCCAGAAGGGAUUGACUUUGUCACUGCAAAUACGCUUACUGCAAUACAAACCUGGAUAAAUCAGAGUAUCUCAAAGCAGCAAGAAUAAGCAUUCAAGAUAAUAGUUUUCUUUAUGGAUCUUCUCUUAGCAGUACAGCAGAUGAAGUAACAAGGAAUCUACCCAGCAGGUGAAUUUCUAUUAAAGCCUUUCUGUGUCUUGGCAGUGGCUCACAGCAUUGACAUUCUUUCACAAAACACUUAGUAUCAAGGAAUCAGCAUUUUUCUAGUGACAAGUCACUUAAUAAAAUUCCUGACGUUGUCCAAGUACAAUGCCUAACCAAAGUGAUGCAGUUAGGAUGGUUUAAAAGGUGUGCUAGAAUCUAAGUUUAUUGCCAUCUGUAAAAAAAUCUGCAGCACACACAAAGAAUGGUGGCUCACUGGAGAAAACAAGAGGUUAUUGUCUUUGCAGCCUCGUGAUUUUGUUCUCUGCCUCAGCCUCUCAUGAGGCAGAAUGUUUCCUGCACAUUCCAGAAUCACUCUUCUGAAAUGGGAGUCUCAUACUUUCUGAGCUAAACAGCUUCAGCCCUGGCUGACACCAGUGCUUGCUUUUAGCCUGUCAUUAGUCAGCACGCUAUCAGACCUGCCCUGUAAAAGCAUGAUCACAUCAAACCACGGUUUCACACCACUGGACACGUCCAAUAUGCUCAUAUGAAGAAUGCAUUUGUUUUAUAUCUGGCCCAACCUGCUCUUAUAGUCCUCACUGCUUAGCAAAUAAAGCCUCCUGCAACACAAAGUACACUCCAGGCUGAUGCUCAACAUAUUACCUCUAUGGUGAAAAGACUUCACAGACUGUCAAAUAAAUUCUUCUUAGGACACCAUCCUAAAUUUCCACUAAGGUAUAGGAAAUAAAAUAUUUUAUAAUGUAUUUCCAAACACAGUUAUUUGUCCUCUGAGUGCCGCAAGAAUGUUUACAAACUGCUGUGCAGGCUGGAUAGUAAAGCAGUUCUGGUUAAAAGGUCAGUUUAAGGGUUUAGGGCAAUAAUAGCCCAGUUUAUAGAAGUGGGGAAGCAGAGGCCAUAGAAAGGUAAGGGCUGAAAAUGAAGCAUAAUAAAAAAUACAAUUUCACUCAGUUGUUCUACAGGAAUGAACAACAUCAUCCACUCCUACUUUCCCCUGCUGCCUAGAAGGCCCUUGUUACACCUGCAGUUUCUAAGGUCAAUCACUUGAAGGCAGAAAAUUUUCCUUUCUAUGGGCAAGUAUGCAAACUCUUCAGGUAAGUUUGGACAAUAAAUAAACUGACCUGAAUACUUCAGGAAAAUGGAAAAAAAAAAAAAAAAAAAAAGUGUUAGAAAGAUAGGGAAAGAUAGGAUCUUCAAUUCAUAAAGGGAAGAUGGAUUUUUUUAAUUAAGUGAAUAACAGAAUUCUGAGACUUUCUGUUCCAGCUCUGUCACAGGCCCUUUUGUGACCCUGACCUGUGGUCUGAAUGUGUUUCUCUUGAAGUCAACACGAGUUUUAUAACUGUCUUUACAAGAAUCAGCAUGAUUUAAGAAAUUUCAGCAGCACUUGUUGACCUCAUAUCCAUCAUGGAACAGCACGAUGCAGACACACACCACUGAAGCUGUGCUCGUGGCAUUCAGCUGGUGCAGCCUGGCCCCUUCCCAUGCAGAGAUCCCAGCUGGGGAUGAAAAUAGCGUUACCCUGUGCCACGCUGUGCCCGUGCUAGUAAUCUCUCCCUCUCAGCCUAUCUACACAAGAGACAUCUUGACAUUAUAACAAAGAGACUAAAUGAAAGACAGACACUUGACAACUGGACCUGGCAGCUAGCCAUUCCACAGGAGUCACUGCAAUAAACGACGGUGGAAACACGCACACAAUCUAAAUCAUCACUGCAGAAGUUUAUCUCAUUUUUCUUUCUUUCUCUAGGAAUUGCCAUUUGUUACUGUGACUGUGAGAACACCCUUUGUUACUGCGAGUGUGGGAACACCAAAAUCACCAAUAUUUUUACCUAACUGACUGAAUUUAGAUUACUGCACACUUGGUUGAUGUUAGAGCUGAACAGCUUUCUGAUCUCACCACUGCCUGAUUUAGCUUUAUUUUAGAAGGGCUGCCUUCAAAAUAAAAAAAAAAAAAAAAUAUAUGUUGAAGGAAAACAUUUUUAAUUUAGGUCUAGUACAACCUAGGAAAAAAGUUUGAGUCCUGUCUCCAUCAUUUUCACCACUGUCCAAGCUGCUGGCCUGGGGCUGUUGGAGAUCCACAAACAGGCCAACAGGAUGAACUUUGGCGGCCCACCAUGAGGACCUCGGGCUCAGCCUGGGCCACCUGGGCAAGGCCAGCAGUGGCCACAUGCACCAGACGCAGAUCAACGAGGCCACCAAGGCCCAGACCAGCAAAACCCUGCAGAGGACCCUGCAGAAGCAGAGUGUCAUCUACAGCGACAAAUCCAUGAUUUGGGAGCACAGCUUGGGCAUGAAAUGGUGAACCUGUAGACAGCCAAGAAGUGGCUGAGGCCAGCCAGAAAUAUUUGUCCAGCAUGACCAAGUUCCUCAAGGUCAAGGGGGACAAAAGUUGAGUCUGCACCCAUUCCUCUGGAACCCCCAAUCCCACCCCAAAUUCCCAGGGAACCCCCCCAGUAUCCCCCAAAUGACCUCCCCCCCCUUCCUUCUCCAUCAGAAUUUGGGUGUUAGGGGAGUUUUUGGGAGCUUGUCAAGGUCAAGGAGGACAGAAAAGGGGUUCACACCCCCCAACCCCACCGGUACCCACAAAUCCUACCCUGCAAUCUCCUAAUCCCUCAGGGGUUCCCCCCCAUUAUUACCUUCCUGAAUAUUGGAAUUUGCAUUGGAAUUUCUGGUUGAAGCAGAUUGUUGGGUGA
This is a long non-coding RNA of Parus major (Great Tit), 3011 nucleotides long. RefSeq lists it as uncharacterized. The transcript has 4 exons. The record is from RefSeq and is a predicted model, not a curated record. NCBI's taxonomy places the organism in Eukaryota, Metazoa, Chordata, Aves, Passeriformes, Paridae.